Molecule: ribosomal RNA, 496 nt
Filed under: uncultured bacterium
Lineage: Bacteria
Description: partial 16S ribosomal RNA
Rfam family: Bacterial small subunit ribosomal RNA
Source: RNAcentral
GAUGAACGCUGGCGGCGUGCCUAAUACAUGCAAGUCGAGCGAACGGACGAGAAGCUUGCUUCUCUAAUGUUAGCGGCGGACGGGUGAGUAACACGUGGAUAACCUACCUAUAAGACUGGGAUAACUUCGGGAAACCGGAGCUAAUACCGGAUGAUAUUUUGAACCGCAUGGUUCAAAAGUGAAAGACGGUCUUGCUGUCACUUAUAGAUGGAUCCGCGCUGCAUUAGCUAGUUGGUAAGGUAACGGCUUACCAAGGCAACGAUGCAUAGCCGACCUGAGAGGGUGAUCGGCCACACUGGAACUGAGACACGGUCCAGACUCCUACGGGAGGCAGCAGUAGGGAAUCUUCCGCAAUGGGCGAAAGCCUGACGGAGCAACGCCGCGUGAGUGAUGAAGGUCUUCGGAUCGUAAAACUCUGUUAUUAGGGAAGAACAUAUGUGUAAGUAACUGUGCACAUCUUGACGGUACCUAAUCAGAAAGCCACGGCUAACUACGU